CAGUAGCCGCGGUAAUACGUAGGGUGCAAGCGUUAAUCGGAAUUACUGGGCGUAAAGCGUGCGCAGGCGGUUCGUUAAGACAGAUGUGAAAUCCCCGGGCUUAACCUGGGAACUGCAUUUGUGACUGGCGAGCUAGAGUAUGGCAGAGGGGGGUAGAAUUCCACGUGUAGCAGUGAAAUGCGUAGAGAUGUGGAGGAAUACCGAUGGCGAAGGCAGCCCCCUGGGCCAAUACUGACGCUCAUGCACGAAAGCGUGGGGAGCAAACAGGAUUAGAUACCCGGGUAGUCCCUGUCUCUUAUAC
Molecule: ribosomal RNA, 301 nt
Filed under: uncultured bacterium
Lineage: Bacteria
Description: partial 16S ribosomal RNA
Rfam family: Bacterial small subunit ribosomal RNA
Source: RNAcentral